UAAAGGUUUGGUCCUAGCCUUCUUAUUAAUUGAAGCUCCAUUUACACAUGCAAGUAUCAGCACCCCCGUGAAAAUGCCCUCUAGCACUCAAAUGAUAGAGGAGCAGAUAUCAGGCCCUAUCUUAGCCAAAGACAUCUUGUUUAGCCACACCCUCAAGGGAACUCAGCAGUGAUUAACAUUGAAAAAUAAGCGCCCUAAGCUUGAACCAGUCAGAGCUUGAAGAGUUGGUCAAUCUCGUGCCAGCCACCGCGGUUAUACGAGAAACUCAAAUUAAUAAAAUCGGCUCAAAGGGUGGUUAAAAGCAUAACAACAAUAGAAUUAAGAAUUAACCCUGCUGUCGCACGCAAGUUAUACAUAAACACAAUGCCGAAAGGAAUUCUAUCAUACUUGAACCCACGACAAUUAAGAAACAAACUAGGAUUAGAUACCCUACUAUGCCUAAUUAUAAACUUUGAAUUAUCCGCCAGAAUACUACGAGCCACAGCUUAAAACUCAAAGGACUUGGCGGUGCUCUAUAUCCCCCUAGAGGAGCCUGUUCUAUAAUCGAUAAUCCACGAUAAACCUCACCAUCUAUUGCUAAUACAACCUAUAUACCACCGUCCAGCCCGCCCUUUAAAGGAUAAAUAGCAGGCACAAUUAUAAACGUAAAAACGUCAGGUCAAGGUGUAGUUUAUAAGAUGGGAAGAAAUGGGCUACAUUUUUUAAUUUAGAAAAAACGAAGGAUUUUAUGAAACUAUCUUCUAAAGGAGGAUUUAGCAGUAAAAAGAAACAAGAAUAUUCUUUUUAAGACGGCAAUAGAGCGCGCACACACCGCCCGUCACCCUCUUCGAAUAAUUUACAACAUUAAAUAAAGAGAACUUACAAAUAAGAAGAGAUAAGUCGUAACAUGGUAAGUCUACCGGAAGGUGGACUUGGAUAUAU
Molecule: non-coding RNA, 921 nt
Filed under: Mertensiella caucasica
Lineage: Eukaryota; Metazoa; Chordata; Amphibia; Caudata; Salamandridae
Source: RNAcentral